RNAcentral lists this ribosomal RNA (495 nucleotides) under uncultured bacterium. Its description in RNAcentral is "partial 16S ribosomal RNA". It matches the Rfam family "Bacterial small subunit ribosomal RNA", at positions 29 to 506 of the family's 1533-position model. The record is from RNAcentral.
AUGAACGCUGGCGGCGUGCCUAAUCCCUGCAAGUCGCGCGCACAGACGAGGAGCUUGCUCCUCUGACGUUAGCGGCGGACGGGUGAGUAACACGUGGAUAACCUACCUAUAAGACUGGGAUAACUUCGGGAAACCGGAGCUAAUACCGGAUAAUAUAUUGAACCGCAUGGUUCAAUAGUGAAAGACGGUUUUGCUGUCACUUAUAGAUGGAUCCGCGCCGCAUUAGCUAGUUGGUAAGGUAACGGCUUACCAAGGCGACGAUGCGUAGCCGACCUGAGAGGGUGAUCGGCCACACUGGAACUGAGACACGGGCCAGACUCCUACGGGAGGCAGCAGUAGGGAAUCUUCCGCAAUGGGCGAAAGCCUGACGGAGCAACGCCGCGUGAGUGAUGAAGGUCUUCGGAUCGUAAAACUCUGUUAUUAGGGAAGAACAAAUGUGUAAGUAACUAUGCACGUCUUGACGGUACCUAAUCAGAAAGCCACGGCUAACUACGU